GAGAUUUCACCCGUAACAUCCAGCAGCAAAACACCCUAAGUGGGGCUCCGGUUGUAGGUGCUGUGGUGCCUCAGUGCCCAGGGAUGCCUUUGUCUUCAUCUUCACUUUCUUCCUUCAAGGAUCGAAUGAGCAACUCGCAUUCUUGGAGGUAAAGUCCAAGUUCUAAUUCCUGCCUCACCUCCUGAUCAUCAGGUGGACUGCUGAGGCUCGAGCUCAGGAGCAACCCGUAUUGAAAAGUCUGCAUCCAAAAGGAUGGCCGCUCUUGCCUCUGGUUCUAAAAACUGUACGUAAUGACUCAGCUCUCACUAGAGCCAUAGUGCUGCAUCCAGUUUCCCUGCUGGUGGAAGCUCCAGUAGAACCUUCUCAUCCCCAGAGAAGCACAUGAGAGAAGUCCUAGCUGUCCUAGGAACUCCUUGCUGUAAUGAACUGCAUCCCCAAAGCCUCCCGCAUGCAAGCACCUCUGCAGCACUGAAGCGGUGAAUGAUGGCAUCAGAAGGCAAUAUGGAGAACGCAGUGGCCAGUUUCGUGUGGGACACACCUGAGCAACUGGGAGCUGAUGCUCCACCAAAACUCAAGAUGGAACUCAGCAAGAUCCAGCCCACAGGGGGUACAAGCACAGCACGACGGAGCUGUCACUAGCAGCACUUGUCAGCCUGCUGUACAGCUAUUACGGGCAGCCCUGCUACGUGGAGGGAACAGCAGACAUGCAGUGGUGUUGGUGCAUCAGGCUCAUGACCUCCUAGGGGGCAAUGUUCGGUGAGUAGAGCAGUGCCUUCCUGUUCCAAGAAGUCUAGAUGGCUGGGACUGUGAAGGAGCUCCAAGGAGGCUUUCCAAGUUCUAAGGAGCACACCAUUUUGCAGAGCACCCAAGAGAGAACAUGGGAGCGCUACAAACUGAUGGCAAAGUGGGACAUCACAGCCAACUGCUGCCUGUGUAAGGAGCUGACGAGAAACAAUCCCUCCCUCUCCAUCUGAUAGGCAGUUGGAAGAGACUUUUCGAUGUCGUCCAGUCCACCUCCCCUGCAGUGAACAGGAUCAUCUACAGCUGGAUCAAGUUGACCCGGGCCUGAUCUUAGAGAUCUUCUAUGUUACAGACUCUGUGAUUGGUACAACUCUAAGACUCACGCUCCCCUCUGUGUCUCUCCAGAGGUAGUUCUUUAACACUACAUUUCCCCACCCCACCAAUCUGUCCUCUCUCCAGCAAGUAAGUGGAGCUACAUAGACGUAAAGGGUGGAUGGUAAAGCCAGAUGAGCUCCACCCUGUCAACCGUUUGCUGAACUGCAUCACCAUCCCAAAGUCCCCUCCUGUCCCAUUCUGCACAAGAGGGACAAAGAUCCAGACAGCCCUUGGCCUCUGUUUCCCCUCCUCCAGCUCUGUGUGAUGACAUCCUUGUGGUGCAGGGUGACACUCAAAGGCCACAAGUGCCUUCCCUUCAGGCAUGACCUCCUCCAGUCUGUUUUCUUUCUGUUUCAUCUGCUUUGCUCUGCCCCAGGCAGCCUUGCCCAAGACCUCAAGUCUGCCAGCUCACCCUACCCUCCUUCCUUCCACUACUGAGCUGUUCAGGCUAAGCCAAGCACUUCUGACAGAAGUGCUGUCACAGCUGAUAAACCGGAAGUACAGAGGAUGUGGAAGCCAAGUGAUGGGUGAAGUAGAUGACCACCUAGAGAUCUGCCUGGAUCAAUUAAAAUUCCAGGCACUCCUAGUGCAUCAGUUGUCCAAGGCUCUGGACAGUUGUUGGCCCUUCAGUCCCUCUGCACAAAUGUUGCCAGGACAAUGACAGAAAUGGAAACAGAGGGAGUAGGGGAAGAGCUCAGUGCAGCUCUUGGGACUUGAGGAAGGUGGGUGCUCACUUUGUGCUACGUUAUAGCUUCAUCCAGGGGCAUGGAGUGGGUAGGAAAGCUGACUUAGUUUGCAACACCUCUACAUUCAAAACACAAGCACUUGGCCCUGAAGUGCAGCAGCAGCAGCACUCAGUCACCAACUACAUGGCAUACCUCUGGCCAGAGGUAAUGCGCUGCGCUCCACUGCUCUUUACAGAGUGGUUUUCAGGUCACUAUCACCCGAAUCCAUCCCUGGUGUUCCCUCAGGGAUUCAGGGCCAGGAUCACUCCUGUGAGGAAAGCAUAAGAGCACUGAGUUGUAGAGAGAUUCCCGACUCCCUUCCCUGAGGGUCUUCAAAAGCCAGCAGCACACAGGCCUGGGAAACCUGCUCUGAUGGUCCUGCGGGAGAGUUCAGAACCAGAUCAUACAACCUUACAGCCAUUCAGUUGGGAAAAGACCAGGUACAAUUGUUAACCUACACAAACAUAGAAUCACAGAACCAUACCCUCACAGAACUGGAGAAUUAACGGAGUCAUUCAGAUUUGUAAACAGCUGUAAGACUCAUUCCAGCAUCACGUAACACAAGUCCACCACUAAACUGUCCCCACACACCUCAUCUACAUACCUCUUACACCCCUCCAGGCAUGACGACUUCAUUAAGCAAAACUCCCCCCACCACUGACCCCUAACCAUGUCUGCUUCUGUGCUGCUCGGUCAGCAGGAUGAGGCAGAAGUUUAGCUAGCAAUUCCUGGGCACAAAGGACACAAGGGAGAUGGAUAGGUGAGUACCUGGGGCCUGGGAGUGCUGCCCCAUGCCCUGCAGUGAACAAGUAACCCCUAGAAGGCAGGGUGAUCCCCCAUACCUGCAUGCAGCCUGCUAGCCCACUUCCCUCCUGCAUUCUGCAGUACUCCUUCCCCUUGGGCCAGUUUCUUCCCCUGUGCUGAGAUGGAGUUCAAGUUGUGGGUGACAGUGGCCACCAUCACUGAGUACAAGCACUCCUCCUGGGACUGCCACUUAACCAUCAGGGAUCCCCUCUAGGCAGAUGGAGGCCAGACCACCUUCCAGCAUCCAUGCUGGGCUGAGGGCUGUUGAAACCACUCACCUCCUGCGUUUCCAGUGUCUCAUAGGUACCAUGAGUGGGUAGCUGACACAUCCCCAGUUAAAGUCCCUCUGACAAGCUCUGAUCAUUCACAGAGCAUGUCUAGCACUUCUGCGAUGCUUAUUCAGCCUUAGGUCAAUGAAAACCUGCUCCUGGAGAUGCCUAAUGCUGUAAGGCCAUUCUUUGCUGUGCAGAAGGACCCCAGCUUCUCCCCCCAUGGGCAUCAUUUUCCUUUCUGCCUCAUUCCUCUUCAUCCUUGUGCACUCCCUCCUGCUCUCCCACACCAUCAGGGCUGCAGGUACCACCCUUCGCCUUGACCUCAUUCCCAACAACCACAGACCAAAAAAGGUGAGCGUGACUGAUUCCCCGUGUCGUGAUUCCCACAAUGGUCACAUUCGUGCAGUCAAGGGACAAACGCUUCCUUAAAGAGCUUGGGUUUAAGUAGUGCAAGCAGUGCCAUUGGCAAAGAGGCUCCCAUGGGUAACCUUCGGACCCUCCUCCCCCAAUCUUCCUGUAGCUCUUCUUGCUUUGUCUCCCAUCAGAAUUACUCCUCAUGAGAUGGUUUUGCAGGCAGCGGACAUCUCAGGUCCUGCCAGCAGGAUACAUACAUUCACCUCCAUAUUGUCCUAACUUGGACCUAGCGGAGUGGAAUAACCCCCAUAACAUACCACUACACCAAUGAUCCCCUAUUGCCAUCUCACCAGAAGCAUUAGGAAAGGCAGUAGACUCAUUGAUUACUACCUACAAGAGAAGGGUGAGCUAUAAAGCCUCAGAAGGAACAAGCACCAGGCUUGUCACAGUGAAAGCCCUGCCUGUAGCUUGCUCAGGAAAGCCCAAAUACUACACAGUGCAAUACAGACAGUUCAGGUGUUCUGCAUCCCUACUGCACCAAGGCAGGUGCAAGAACUUCCGGGUCCACGCAAUACUGGCAUUACUCUUACACCUGCAUACCACAGCUGCUGUGGCCUUUCACCAACUCACAAAGGCCAAAAACAUGGCUGGAGGAAUGAAACAACGUCUUCCAGCAAGACAGAACUACCUUCUCAACAGGCCCAGGUGCUGGGUACACUCAAACCCACCCUUCCAGCUGAACUAGAAACACACGUAACUGAGAAUGGGUUUGGCUAGGGCCUGUGGCUGAGGCAGAACUCCAUUUAAACCCAGUUGUGUUCUGGUCUCAGUUCUGACACGGAGCAGAAGAGAAGCGUAGCAUGAAAAAGUUAUCUGGCUGCCUACUCUGCAUUAAAGGUGGUAGUGCCAAUAACCCACACCGCUGAAGUCUCACUUAAGGCAAUUUCUCCAAUUCAGAAGCAGGUAAAACAUCUGACCCACCUCCCUAAGGCACGGUACACCAAACAGACAGCAGCAUGAUGGAUCACCUACUUCAGCCAGUGCUGCAGUUUGUCUUUAUCACCCUUGGAAGAAGAGCUUUGGAAGAACCUAGGCAUGGUCUCAUUCGUGCAAGAAUCCAGAGCUGAAGUUCACUCCCAGCCCUGUGCAUCAGCCAGUGUCCCCCCUUGCCAUCCCAUAGAAUUCACCAACAGGUCCACAUGGGUCCAACCACACUCCACAUUCCUACAGGACAAUCAGGGAUACCCACAUUGUUACAAUAGGCCUAAGUUGUAGUGACUUAACAGGCCUGACGGUGGCUCGAUACACUUGACCAUUUGCUGUCUAGAGGGCACUGUCAGACACACACACACAAAGGUCCUCCUGUUGCCUCAAAAGUCUCACAGUGGUUGUGAGCUCCUUGAACCACAGAGGUAAGGAGCCCCGGUGCAGUGGGACCCACUGCUGGCCUCAGACUUCAUCAAGCCUUUAUGUCAAAGGGGUCAUGUGCAAAAGCAAUCUAAGAUAAAACCUCAUGAAAAAGCUGCACAUGAACCUUUAACUGCUUAGCAAGGAUCAGUAUUGGCAAGGUAUCUCAACAUCAAGGUGUGAGGGCUCUUUCUCCAGGUGUGAACUCGAGAGACAGCCGCACUCAAGGGAAAUCCUGUCAAUGAACCUGCUGUCGUGCAGGAGAGCUCGAGGGGCAGUUGGGCUGUCCGGCAUCUUUGAGGUAGGAUGAGUGCCAGAUUUUGUCUGAGUGCACUCAUAGUUGCCCCCUAGCUGUUACGUCUGACAGCAGUUCUUUUGACCCCCCCAGGCCAAGAUGCGUUUGUGACCAUUAAUCUGCUUUCACUAGAACACCAUCAAUACUGUUGCUCACAGUCUUUGUGGGCUAGGCCUAAUGUUCAAGGCCAGGACAAAGGAGGACAUUCAAAGGAAGAAAGCAAGUGUGGAGAGCAUGCUGGCUGUGCUGGGAAGAAAAUCUAGUAAGACCAGUGUUCCCAGUCAGAGUGCCAGGUGGCUUUUACCCCCAGGCAAUGCCCUGAAAAGGACUAGGGAGGGCUGGACUUGGACAGAAACAGCUACACCCCCUCACACCUCCCCUGCCCUUUCUUGCCUCAGCACGCUCCCAUGAGUCUUCUGCCUUUCACCAGCGAUCAUCUGAUCCAGACCUACAGGAAGGCUUCCACUCACAAAUAGACGAACUACACUAACUUGUAACAGCAGAUUGAGUAAAAGAGUCACAUACCUGA
Gallus gallus (chicken) is the source of this 5502-nucleotide long non-coding RNA. RefSeq lists it as uncharacterized. The record is from RefSeq and is a predicted model, not a curated record. Lineage: Eukaryota; Metazoa; Chordata; Aves; Galliformes; Phasianidae. The transcript is spliced from 4 exons.